CUAGUCUACGGGCAGGGCUGUGCGAACUCUGUCCAGGACUGGCUGGCCAAUAACAUCAUCAGCAUUGUGGGCAUCUGCCUGGGCAUUGCCCUGUUGGAGCUCUGUCUCAUGAUGUUAUCGAUGUUUCUGUUUAGAAACAUGGGCCAGAACUACGACAAGCUGACCCGAUACUCCUAGGAAGCCCCUCCUGCCCUAGGGGGUGGAGGGAGAGUGGAUGGGUAUGAGCCACUGCCCUCCAGCUGGGACCAUCCAUCCAGCCUGGGCUGAAGCAGCUUUCUUUCCCGAUCUGAGUGUUCUUGGCAUGGGGCAGGGCCCCUAGUCUAUUCCCCCAACCUUGAUGUGCCCCUCCCCCCUUGCCUGGUCCCUGACCUGAGCUGCGCUCACGCUUGGGGCAGUGGCAUAGGGAAAGGGGUGCUGUCUCUUUCUUCCUCUGGGGAUAUAUUGGUGGGGUUUGCUGCAGUAGGGAGGGGAGAUGCAGGGUGGUGGGAGUGGGGAGAGGACCUGGUAGCUGGGGAUGGGAGGGAAGUUGGGAUAUGUGACUUUUUCUAUGUUGUUUUCCCCUGCGGAGAGGAUGGUGGAGACCAAGUGGGGAGAAGGGAGCAAAUCGGUCCUUUCCACUACCUGCCACUGCAGGGGAAGCAAUCCCCCUCCUGAGCAGGGGUCCCAGAUUUGACAAGCUAGGAGGAUGUUUUCCUCCUAUGUGAGCUGACCCCACCCCCGCGUUUCCCUGCCCCAAGAAUUUGCAACUUUUGUUAAAUCCACUUUGUAAAUAAAAUAAAAAACUGGGGUCCAAACCUGAAAAA
This is a non-coding RNA of Pelodiscus sinensis (Chinese soft-shelled turtle), 803 nucleotides long. Lineage: Eukaryota; Metazoa; Chordata; Testudines; Trionychidae. The record is from RefSeq and is a predicted model, not a curated record.